UACAGAGGUCCCAAGCGUUGUUCGGAUUCAUUGGGCGUAAAGGGUGCGUAGGCGGCAUGGUCAGUCUGAUGUGAAAUACCGGGGCUCAACCCUGGAACUGCAUUGGAUACUGCCAUGCUAGAGAACUGGAGAGGAGACUGGAAUUUACGGUGUAGCAGUGAAAUGCGUAGAGAUCGUAAGGAAGACCAGUGGCGAAGGCGAGUCUCUGGACAGUUACUGACGCUGAGGCACGAAGGCCAGGGGAGCAAACGAG
Molecule: ribosomal RNA, 253 nt
Filed under: uncultured bacterium
Lineage: Bacteria
Description: partial 16S ribosomal RNA
Rfam family: Bacterial small subunit ribosomal RNA
Source: RNAcentral